RNAcentral lists this ribosomal RNA (253 nucleotides) under uncultured bacterium. RNAcentral describes it as "partial 16S ribosomal RNA". It matches the Rfam family "Bacterial small subunit ribosomal RNA", at positions 524 to 776 of the family's 1533-position model. The record is from RNAcentral.
UCCGUCGGGUGCGCGCGUUGUUCGGAAUUACUGGGCGUACAGCAUGCGUAGGCGGUUUGGUAAGUUAGAUGUGUAAUCCCCGGGCUCAACUCGGGAGCUGCAUCUAAGACUGCUAGACUAGAAUAUGGUAGGGGGUAAUGGAAUUCUUAGUGUAGGGGUAAAAUCCGUAGAUAUUAAGAGGAACACCAGAAGCGAAGGCGAUUACCUGGGCCAUUAUUGACGCUGAGGCAUGAAAGCGUGGGGAGCAAACAGG